RNAcentral lists this long non-coding RNA (420 nucleotides) under Oryzias javanicus (javanese ricefish). Its description in RNAcentral is "lncRNA (ENSOJAG00000007453.1)". Lineage: Eukaryota; Metazoa; Chordata; Actinopteri; Beloniformes; Adrianichthyidae. The record is from RNAcentral.
AAAAGAUAAUAAAUUGAGUUUUUAUAGAGUCAUUUCGCCUUCGUGUUUUGUUUUGCUCCAGGACCUGUCCGCUGUAGCUUUUUUGUGAACAUGCUCAACUAACAGACCUGAAGAAAUGACAACGAUUUCCAUAAUUUACAAAAAUAUUUGAAAGAAUGACGGAUUCAAAUGAGAAUUCCUUGCGGAACAUGGCAACUACUUUGCUGAAUAUGCGGGGAUCAGCAAGUGACCCAACUGGUAUAAAUCUAUCUUAAAACCUACAGUUGAUAGUGACAUCAGCAGAACCUCAAGAUACAGGAAAGUUCAAUCAAAUGACGUGAAUAUUAUUAAAAACAGAAAAUAAUUUAUUUAUGUAACUUAGAUCACCAAAAUAUAAUACAAAAAGACAUUUUGGUUUGUUGUGAUAAAUUAUUUGUUUCU